RNAcentral lists this ribosomal RNA (103 nucleotides) under Limosilactobacillus fermentum. Its description in RNAcentral is "Lactobacillus fermentum partial 16S ribosomal RNA". The record is from RNAcentral. Lineage: Bacteria; Bacillati; Bacillota; Bacilli; Lactobacillales; Lactobacillaceae.
UUUUAUAUGAGAGUUUGAUCCUGGCUCAGGAUGAACGCCGGCGGUGUGCCUAAUACAUGCAAGUCGAACGCGUUGGCCCAAUUGAUUGAUGGUGCUUGCACCU